This 489-nucleotide ribosomal RNA is filed under the name uncultured bacterium. Its description in RNAcentral is "partial 16S ribosomal RNA". It matches the Rfam family "Bacterial small subunit ribosomal RNA", at positions 28 to 507 of the family's 1533-position model. The record is from RNAcentral.
GAUGAACGCUAGCGGCAGGCUUAAUACAUGCAAGUCGUGGGGCAGCAGAACUGUAGCCCUACAGUUGCUGGCGACCGGCAAACGUGAUCGGUACACGUCCGCAACUUACCCUGAACUGGCGGAUAGCCCGGGGAAAUCCGACUUCAUACCCCGUAAUAUAAUGGGGUGGCAUCCCUUUAUUAUUAAAGCUCCGGCGGUUCGGGAUGGGCGUGCGGCUGUUUAGGUAGUUGGUUGAGGUAACGGCUCCCCAAGCCUACGAUCAGUAACUGGUGUGAGAGCACGACCAGUCAGACGGGCACUGAGGCACAGGCCCGAAUCGUACGGGAGGGAGCAGUAAGGUAUAUUGGGCAAUGGAGGCAACUCUGACCCAGCCAUGCCGGGUGGAGGAGUCAGGCCAUCUGGGUUGUAAACUUCUUUUAUAGAAGACGAGUACGGUGUAUUCUUACGCAGUUGACGGUACCAAAAGAAUAAGCACCGGCUAACUUCGUG